RNAcentral lists this unclassified non-coding RNA (145 nucleotides) under soil metagenome. RNAcentral describes it as "partial internal transcribed spacer 1". The record is from RNAcentral.
UAAUAAGUGUUUUAUGGCACUUUUUGAAUCCAUAUCCACCUUGUGUGCAAUGUCAGUCGAUCUUCUUCAUGGAGAUCGACCAAACAUCAACCUUUAUCUUUUAACUCUUUGUCUGAAAAAUAUUAUGAAUAAACAAUUCAAAAUA